AACGAACGCUGGCGGCAGGCUUAACACAUGCAAGUCGAACGGGUGUAGCAAUACAUCAGUGGCAGACGGGUGAGUAACACGUGGGAACCUUCCUAGGGGUACGGAACAACUCAGGGAAACUUGAGCUAAUACCGUAUACGUCCGUGAGGAGAAAGAUUUAUCGCCCUUGGACGGGCCCGCGUCGGAUUAGCUAGUUGGUGGGGUAACGGCCUACCAAGGCGACGAUCCGUAGCUGAUCUUAGAGGAUGAUCAGCCACACUGGGACUGAGACGCGGCCCAGACUCCUACGGGAGGCAGCAGUGGGGAAUCUUGGACAAUCGGCGCGAGCCUGAUCCAGCCAUGCCGCGUGAGUGAAGAAGGUCUUCGGAUUGUAAAGCUCUUUUGCCAGGGACGAUAAUGACGGUACCUGGAGAAUAAGCCCCGGCAAACUUCGUGCCAGCAGCCGCGGUAA
This 451-nucleotide ribosomal RNA is filed under the name uncultured bacterium. RNAcentral's name for it is "partial 16S ribosomal RNA". It matches the Rfam family "Bacterial small subunit ribosomal RNA", at positions 29 to 523 of the family's 1533-position model. The record is from RNAcentral.